GGAAUAUUGGUCAAUGGACGAGAGUCUGAACCAGCCAAGUAGCGUGAAGGAUGACGGCCCUAUGGGUUGUAAACUUCUUUUGUUUGGGAAUAAAGUGCUCUACGUGUAGAGUUUUGUAUGUACCUUACGAAUAAGCAUCGGCUAAUUCCGUGCCAGCAGCCGCGGUAAUACGGAAGAUGCGAGCGUUAUCCGGAUUUAUUGGGUUUAAAGGGAGCGUAGGCGGACCUUUAAGUCAGCGGUAAAAUGUCAAUGCCCAACAUUGGCCCGCCGUUGAUACUGUUGGUCUUGAAUACACACAAGGAAGGUGGAAUUCGUUGUGUAGCGGUGAAAUGCUUAGAUAUGACGAAGAACUCCGAUUGCGAAGGCAGCCUUCUGGGGUGCGAUUGACGCUGAGGCUCGAAAGUGCGGGUAUCAAACA
Molecule: ribosomal RNA, 418 nt
Filed under: uncultured bacterium
Lineage: Bacteria
Description: bacterial SSU rRNA
Rfam family: Bacterial small subunit ribosomal RNA
Source: RNAcentral